Molecule: ribosomal RNA, 253 nt
Filed under: uncultured bacterium
Lineage: Bacteria
Description: partial 16S ribosomal RNA
Rfam family: Bacterial small subunit ribosomal RNA
Source: RNAcentral
UACAGGGGGCGCGAGCGUUGCUCGGAAUCACUGGGCGUAAAGCGUACGCAGGCGGAUCGUUAAGUCGGGUGUGAAAGCCCGGGGCUCAACCCCGGAAUUGCAUUCGAUACUGGCGGUCUUGAGUGCGGGAGAGGUGAGUGGAAUUCCUGGUGUAGAGGUGAAAUUCGUAGAUAUCAGGAGGAACACCGGUGGCGAAAGCGGCUCACUGGCCCGACACUGACGCUCAUGUACGAAAGCGUGGGGAGCAAACAGG